Molecule: ribosomal RNA, 253 nt
Filed under: uncultured bacterium
Lineage: Bacteria
Description: partial 16S ribosomal RNA
Rfam family: Bacterial small subunit ribosomal RNA
Source: RNAcentral
UACGGAGGGUGCAAGCGUUAUCCGGAUCCACUGGGCUUAAAGGGAGCGUAGGCGGGUUGGUAAGUCAGUGGUGAAAUCCCCGAGCUUAACUUGGGAACUGCCAUUGAUACUAUCAGUCUUGGAUACUGUGGAGGUUAGCGGAAUAUGUCAUGUAGCGGUGAAAUGCUUAGAUAUGACAUAGAACACCAAUUGCGAAGGCAGCUGGCUGCACAAUUAUUGACACUGAGGCUCGAAAGCGUGGGGAUCAAACAGG